RNAcentral lists this ribosomal RNA (497 nucleotides) under uncultured bacterium. Its description in RNAcentral is "partial 16S ribosomal RNA". It matches the Rfam family "Bacterial small subunit ribosomal RNA", at positions 28 to 507 of the family's 1533-position model. The record is from RNAcentral.
GAUGAACGCUGGCGGCGUGCCUAAUACAUGCAAGUCGAGCGAACAGACGAGGAGCUUGCUCCUCUGACGUUAGCGGCGGACGGGUGAGUAACACGUGGAUACCCUACCUAUAAGACUGGGAUAACUUCGGGAAACCGGAGCUAAUACCGGAUAAUAUAUUGAACCGCAUGGUUCAAUAGUGAAAGACGGUUUUGCUGUCACUUAUAGAUGGAUCCGCGCCGCAUUAGCUAGUUGGUAAGGUAACGGCUUACCAAGGCGACGAUGCGUAGCCGACCUGAGAGGGUGAUCGGCCACACUGGAACGGAGACACGGUCCAGACUCCUACGGGAGGCAGCAGUAGGGAAUCUUCCGCAAUGGGCGAAAGCCUGACGGAGCAACGCCGCGUGAGUGAUGAAGGUCUUCGGAUCGUAAAACUCUGUUAUUAGGGAAGAACAAAUGUGUAAGUAACUAUGCACGUCUUGACGGUACCUAAUCAGAAAGCCACGGCUAACUACGUG